UACGUAGGGGGCAAGCGUUGUCCGGAUUUAUUGGGCGUAAAGAGCGUGUAGGCGGCCAGGUAGGUCGGUUGUGAAAACUCGAGGCUCAACCUCGAGAUGUCGACCGAAACCAUCUGGCUAGAGUCCGGAAGAGGAGAAUGGAAUUCCCGGUGUAGCGGUGAAAUGCGCAGAUAUCGUAAGGAAGACCAGUGGCGAAGGCGGGUCUCUGGACAGUUCCUGACGCUGAGGCACGAAGGUCAGGGGAGCAAACGGG
This 253-nucleotide ribosomal RNA is filed under the name uncultured bacterium. Its description in RNAcentral is "partial 16S ribosomal RNA". It matches the Rfam family "Bacterial small subunit ribosomal RNA", at positions 524 to 776 of the family's 1533-position model. The record is from RNAcentral.